CCUACGGGAGGCAGCAGUGGGGAAUAUUGCGCAAUGGGCGAAAGCCUGACGCAGCGACGCCGCGUGAGGGAUGAAGGUCUUCGGAUCGUAAACCUCUGUCAGCAGGGAAGAACGGUAACUGUGCUAAUCAGCAGUGAAUUGCCGGUACCUGCAAAGGAAGCACCGGUGAACUCCGUGCCAGCAGCCGCGGUAAUACGGAGGGUGCGAGCGUUAAUCGGAAGUACUGGGCGUAAAGGGCUCGUAGGCGGUAUGUCAAGUCAAGGGUGAAAGCUCCGCGCUCAACGUGGGAACUGCAUUUGAAACUGGCGAGCUGGAGUGUAUGAGAGGAUGGUGGAAUUCCUGGUGUAGGAGUGAAAGCCGUAGAUAUCUGGAGGAACAUCAGUGGCGAAGGCGACUCUCUGGCACAUAACUGACGCUGAGGAGCGAAAGCGUGGGUAGCAAACAGGAUUAGAUACCCCUGUAGUC
This 465-nucleotide ribosomal RNA is filed under the name uncultured bacterium. RNAcentral's name for it is "partial 16S ribosomal RNA". It matches the Rfam family "Bacterial small subunit ribosomal RNA", at positions 338 to 795 of the family's 1533-position model. The record is from RNAcentral.